UACGGAGGGAGCUAGCGUUGUUCGGAAUUACUGGGCGUAAAGCGCACGUAGGCGGUCUUUUAAGUCAGGGGUGAAAUCCCGGGGCUCAACCCCGGAACUGCCCUUGAAACUGGGAGACUAGAAUACUGGAGAGGUGAGCGGAAUUCCGAGUGUAGAGGUGAAAUUCGUAGAUAUUCGGAAGAACACCAGUGGCGAAGGCGACUCACUGGACAGUUAUUGACGCUGAGGUGCGAAAGCGUGGGGAGCAAACAGG
RNAcentral lists this ribosomal RNA (253 nucleotides) under uncultured bacterium. Its description in RNAcentral is "partial 16S ribosomal RNA". It matches the Rfam family "Bacterial small subunit ribosomal RNA", at positions 524 to 776 of the family's 1533-position model. The record is from RNAcentral.